AACGAACGCUGGCGGCAUGCCUAACACAUGCAAGUCGAACGAGACCUUCGGGUCUAGUGGCGCACGGGUGCGUAACGCGUGGGAACCUGCCCUUAGGUUCGGAAUAACUCCCCGAAAGGGGUGCUAAUACCGGAUAAUGUCUUCGGACCAAAGAUUUAUCGCCUUUGGAUGGGCCCGCGUUGGAUUAGCUAGUUGGUAGGGUAAAAGCCUACCAAGGCGUCGAUCGAUAGCUGGUCUGAGAGGAUGAUCGGCCACACUGGGACUGAGACACGGCCAAGAAGGCUAAGGGAGGGAGCAGUGGGGAAUAUGGAACAAUGGGCGGAAGCAUGAUGCAGCAACGCAGCGAGCGGGAUGAAGGCCGUAGGGGUGUAAAACGCUUGCGCCGGGGACGAAGGGGGAGGGACGGUAAUGGGUAAAGAAGCAACGGAGAAGUAGGCG
This 438-nucleotide ribosomal RNA is filed under the name uncultured bacterium. Its description in RNAcentral is "partial 16S ribosomal RNA". It matches the Rfam family "Bacterial small subunit ribosomal RNA", at positions 29 to 507 of the family's 1533-position model. The record is from RNAcentral.